ACGGAGGGGGCUAGCGUUGUUCGGAAUUACUGGGCGUAAAGCGCGCGUAGGCGGCUUUGUAAGUUAGAGGUGAAAGCCCGGAGCUCAACUCCGGAACUGCCUUUGAUACUGCAAAUCUCGAGUCCGGAAGAGGUGAGUGGAAUUCCUAGUGUAGAGGUGAAAUUCGUAGAUAUUAGGAAGAACACCAGCGGCGAAGGCGGCUCACUGGUCCGGUACUGACGCUGAGGUGCGAAAGCGUGGGGAGCAAACAGGA
This 253-nucleotide ribosomal RNA is filed under the name uncultured prokaryote. RNAcentral describes it as "partial 16S ribosomal RNA". It matches the Rfam family "Bacterial small subunit ribosomal RNA", at positions 525 to 777 of the family's 1533-position model. The record is from RNAcentral.